GACGAGGGAUCCUAGCGUUGUUCGGAAUUAUUGGGCGUAAAGCGGGUGUAGGUGGCUAUGUAAGUCAGGUGUGAAAGCCUGGGGCUCAACCCCAGAAGUGCAUCUGAUACUGCGUAGCUUGAGUGGUAGAGAGGAUAGUAGAAUUCUUGGUGUAGUGGUGAAAUUCGCAGAUAUCGGGAGGAACACCGGUGGCGAAGGCGGUUCUCUGGGCCUUACCUGACACUGAGGCACGAAAGCUAGGGGAGCAAACAGG
RNAcentral lists this ribosomal RNA (253 nucleotides) under uncultured bacterium. RNAcentral describes it as "partial 16S ribosomal RNA". It matches the Rfam family "Bacterial small subunit ribosomal RNA", at positions 524 to 776 of the family's 1533-position model. The record is from RNAcentral.